Molecule: ribosomal RNA, 433 nt
Filed under: uncultured bacterium
Lineage: Bacteria
Description: partial 16S ribosomal RNA
Rfam family: Bacterial small subunit ribosomal RNA
Source: RNAcentral
AACGAACGCUGGCGGCAUGCCUAACACAUGCGAGUCGAACGAGACCUUCGGGUCUAUUGGCGCACGGGUGCGUAACGCGUGGGAACCUGCCCUUAGGUUCGGAAUAACUCCCCGAAAGGGGUGCUAAUACCGGAUAAUGUCUUCGGACCAAAGAUUUAUCGCCUUUGGAGGGGCCCGCGUUGGAUUAGCUAGUUGGUAGGGUAAAAGCCUACCAAGGCGACGAUCCAUAGCUGGUCUGAGAGGAUGAUCAGCCACACUGGGACUGAGACACGGCCCAGACUCCUACGGGAGGCAGCAGUGGGGAAUAUUGGACAAUGGGCGAAAGCCUGAUCCAGCAAUGCCGCGUGAGUGAUGAAGGCCUUAGGGUUGUAAAGCUCUUUUACCCGGGAUGAUAAUGACAGUACCGGGAGAAUAAGCGCCGGCUAACUCCGUG